Molecule: long non-coding RNA, 1200 nt
Filed under: Homo sapiens (human)
Lineage: Eukaryota; Metazoa; Chordata; Mammalia; Primates; Hominidae
Description: HSALNT0357691
Source: RNAcentral
UUACGAUUUUGAAGGAGGAGCCUAAAGGCUAAGUGGCAGUAUCUCUUCUUUAGCUUAAUAACUAGUAGUUCUAAUUUGGUAUUUUAUACUCUUAGCACAUCACACAAGUGAGUGAUGAGGAAGAGGAUGAUGAUGGCUGUGACCUUUUUGCUGACUCUGAGAAGGAGGAGAAAGAUAUUGAGGACAUUGAAGAAAAUACUAGACCUAAAAGAAGCAGACCUACAUCGUUUGCAGAUGAGCUGGCUGCCCGCAUCAAGGGGGAUGCCGUGGGCCGAGUGGACGAGGAGCCGACAAAUGAAGAGGAUAACUUAUUCGCACCCCCCAAGCUGACCGACGAGGACUUCUCGCCAUUUGGCUCUGGAGGUGGCCUGUUCAGUGGGGGCAAGGGGCUCUUUGAUGAUGAGGACGAGGAGAGUGACCUCUUCACGGAAGCCCCCCAGGAUCGGCAAGCUGGAGCCUCUGUUAAGGAGGAGUCUUCAUCAUCCAAACCUGGAAAGAAAAUCCUAGCAGGAGCUGUUUCUGUAUUUUUAGGAGACACGGAUGUGCUGCCUCCGUUCCAUCACUGAAGGAGCCACAGAAGCCUGAGCAGCCCACUCCAAGGAAAAGCCCCUAUGGUCCCCCUCCCACUGGCCUGUUUGAUGAUGAUGAUGGUGAUGAUGAUAACGACUUUUUCUCGACACCCCACAGCAAACCUUCCAAAACAGGCAAAGUCCAAUCCACUGCUGAUAUCUUUGGUGAUGAAGAAGGAGAUCUGUUCAAAGAAAAAGCCGUAGCAUCGCCAGAAGCCACGGUUACCUUACCUUCCAGCAAAAAUCUCAAGCCCUCGUCAGAAACAAACACUCAAAAAGGCUUAUUUUAGGAUCAGGAGGACUCUGAGGAUUUGUUUUCUUCUCAAAGUGCGAGUAACUUAAAAGGUGCGUCUCUGCUGCCUGGCAAGCUCCCCACGUCGGUUUCCCUGUUUGAUGAUGAAGAUGAAGAGGAUAAUCUUUUUGGGGGUACAGCUGCUAAGAAGCAGACAUUGUCUCUACAAGCUCAAAGACAAGAGAAAGCAAAAGCCUCCAAGCUCUCCAAAAAGAAAGCAUCUGCCCUGUUGUUCAGCAGUGAUGAGGAGGCCAGGCGCAGUGGCUCACGCCUGUAAUCCUAACACUUUGGGAAGCCGAGGCGGGUGGAUCACCUGAGGAGACUGUAGUCAAAUAAAAC